This 68-nucleotide transfer RNA is filed under the name Enchenopa latipes. RNAcentral describes it as "tRNA-Leu". Lineage: Eukaryota; Metazoa; Arthropoda; Insecta; Hemiptera; Membracidae. The record is from RNAcentral.
UCUAUUGUGGCAGAACAAUGCGAUGAAUUUAAAAUUCAUUUAUAAAUAUAUAUAUUUCUUUAGAAAUU